RNAcentral lists this transfer RNA (69 nucleotides) under Pampus argenteus (silver pomfret). Its description in RNAcentral is "tRNA-Phe". It matches the Rfam family "tRNA". Rfam says of the family: Transfer RNA (tRNA) molecules are approximately 80 nucleotides in length. Lineage: Eukaryota; Metazoa; Chordata; Actinopteri; Scombriformes; Stromateidae. The record is from RNAcentral. RNAcentral also lists the same sequence under 3 other names.
GUUAACGUAGCUUAAUUAAAAGCAUAACACUGAAGAUGUUAGGAUGGGCCCUAGAAAGCUCCGCAGACA